This 426-nucleotide ribosomal RNA is filed under the name uncultured bacterium. RNAcentral describes it as "bacterial SSU rRNA". It matches the Rfam family "Bacterial small subunit ribosomal RNA", at positions 355 to 773 of the family's 1533-position model. The record is from RNAcentral.
UGGGGAAUAUUGGACAAUGGGCGCAAGCCUGAUCCAGCAACGCCGCGUGGAGGACGAAGGUCUUCGGAUCGUAAACUCCUGUCAGACGGGACGAACGGUCGGCGGGAAAUACUCGCCGGCCUUGACGGUACCGUCCGAGGAAGCCCCGGCUAACUCCGUGCCAGCAGCCGCGGUAAUACGGAGGGGGCAAGCGUUAUUCGGAAUUAUUGGGCGUAAAGGGCGCGUAGGCGGCUUGGUAAGUCAAAGGUGAAAUCCCUCGGCUCAACUGAGGAAUUGCCUUUGAAACUGCCUGGCUCGAGGCCGGGAGGGGGUAGCGGAAUUCCCAGUGUAGCGGUGAAAUGCGUAGAUAUUGGGAGGAACACCGGUGGCGAAGGCGGCUACCUGGACCGGUUCUGACGCUGAUGCGCGAAAGCGUGGGGAGCAAAC